GUACAUUUUACUGAAUUUUUUGCCUCAUGCAACCUUUUCUCACCGAUCAAACAUGUUUGAUACGUGAGAAAAGGUUGCAUGAGGCAAAAAAUUCAGGAAAAUGUAC
This is a non-coding RNA of Paramuricea clavata, 106 nucleotides long. NCBI's taxonomy places the organism in Eukaryota, Metazoa, Cnidaria, Anthozoa, Malacalcyonacea, Plexauridae. The record is from the annotation of a GenBank genome assembly.